AUCUUCCACAAUGGGCGAAAGCCUGAUGGAGCGACGCCGCGUGAGGGAUGAAGGUCUUUGGAUCGUAAACCUCUAAAAGUGGGACGAUAAUGACGGUACCACUUGAAAAGCACCGGCUAACUCCGUGCCAGCAGCCGCGGUAAUACGGAGGGUGCUAGCGUUAUCCGGAAUCACUGGGCGUAAAGGACGCGUAGGCGGUUUGUUAAGUCCGAUGUUAAAGACUGGGGCUCAACCCCAGCACUGCGUUGGAUACUGGCAGACUGGACGGUUGGAGAGGCGAGUGGAAUUACCAGUGUAGCGGUGGAAUGCGUAGAUACUGGUAGGAACACCCAUUGCGAAGGCAGCUCGCUGGACAACACGUGACGCUGAGGCGCGAAAGUGUGGGGAGCAAACCGGA
This 397-nucleotide ribosomal RNA is filed under the name uncultured bacterium. Its description in RNAcentral is "bacterial SSU rRNA". It matches the Rfam family "Bacterial small subunit ribosomal RNA", at positions 361 to 777 of the family's 1533-position model. The record is from RNAcentral.